RNAcentral lists this ribosomal RNA (921 nucleotides) under Candidatus Phytoplasma asteris-related phytoplasma. RNAcentral describes it as "bacterial SSU rRNA". It matches the Rfam family "Bacterial small subunit ribosomal RNA", at positions 212 to 1142 of the family's 1533-position model. Lineage: Bacteria; Bacillati; Mycoplasmatota; Mollicutes; Acholeplasmatales; Acholeplasmataceae. The record is from RNAcentral.
GGUAUGCUUAGGGAGGAGCUUGCGUCACAUUAGUUAGUUGGUGGGGUAAAGGCCUACCAAGACUAUGAUGUGUAGCCGGGCUGAGAGGUUGAACGGCCACAUUGGGACUGAGACACGGCCCAAACUCCUACGGGAGGCAGCAGUAGGGAAUUUUCGGCAAUGGAGGAAACUCUGACCGAGCAACGCCGCGUGAACGAUGAAGUAUUUCGGUACGUAAAGUUCUUUUAUUAGGGAAGAAUAAAUGAUGGAAAAAUCAUUCUGACGGUACCUAAUGAAUAAGCCCCGGCUAACUAUGUGCCAGCAGCCGCGGUAAUACAUAGGGGGCAAGCGUUAUCCGGAAUUAUUGGGCGUAAAGGGUGCGUAGGCGGUUAAAUAAGUUUAUGGUCUAAGUGCAAUGCUCAACAUUGUGAUGCUAUAAAAACUGUUUAGCUAGAGUAAGAUAGAGGCAAGUGGAAUUCCAUGUGUAGUGGUAAAAUGCGUAAAUAUAUGGAGGAACACCAGUAGCGAAGGCGGCUUGCUGGGUCUUUACUGACGCUGAGGCACGAAAGCGUGGGGAGCAAACAGGAUUAGAUACCCUGGUAGUCCACGCCGUAAACGAUGAGUACUAAACGUUGGGUAAAACCAGUGUUGAAGUUAACACAUUAAGUACUCCGCCUGAGUAGUACGUACGCAAGUAUGAAACUUAAAGGAAUUGACGGGACUCCGCACAAGCGGUGGAUCAUGUUGUUUAAUUCGAAGGUACCCGAAAAACCUCACCAGGUCUUGACAUGCUUCUGCAAAACUGUAGAAACACAGUGGAGGUUAUCAGUUGCACAGGUGGUGCAUGGUUGUCGUCAGCUCGUGUCGUGAGAUGUUGGGUUAAGUCCCGCAACGAGCGCAACCCUUAUUGUUAGUUACCAGCACGUAAUGGNGGGGACUUUA